RNAcentral lists this ribosomal RNA (839 nucleotides) under Bacillus safensis. RNAcentral's name for it is "bacterial SSU rRNA". It matches the Rfam family "Bacterial small subunit ribosomal RNA", at positions 380 to 1213 of the family's 1533-position model. Lineage: Bacteria; Bacillati; Bacillota; Bacilli; Caryophanales; Bacillaceae. The record is from RNAcentral.
AGUCUGACGGAGCACGCCGCGUGAGUGAUGAAGGUUUUCGGAUCGUAAAGCUCUGUUGUUAGGGAAGAACAAGUGCGAGAGUAACUGCUCGCACCUUGACGGUACCUAACCAGAAAGCCACGGCUAACUACGUGCCAGCAGCCGCGGUAAUACGUAGGUGGCAAGCGUUGUCCGGAAUUAUUGGGCGUAAAGGGCUCGCAGGCGGUUUCUUAAGUCUGAUGUGAAAGCCCCCGGCUCAACCGGGGAGGGUCAUUGGAAACUGGGAAACUUGAGUGCAGAAGAGGAGAGUGGAAUUCCACGUGUAGCGGUGAAAUGCGUAGAGAUGUGGAGGAACACCAGUGGCGAAGGCGACUCUCUGGUCUGUAACUGACGCUGAGGAGCGAAAGCGUGGGGAGCGAACAGGAUUAGAUACCCUGGUAGUCCACGCCGUAAACGAUGAGUGCUAAGUGUUAGGGGGUUUCCGCCCCUUAGUGCUGCAGCUAACGCAUUAAGCACUCCGCCUGGGGAGUACGGUCGCAAGACUGAAACUCAAAGGAAUUGACGGGGGCCCGCACAAGCGGUGGAGCAUGUGGUUUAAUUCGAAGCAACGCGAAGAACCUUACCAGGUCUUGACAUCCUCUGACAACCCUAGAGAUAGGGCUUUCCCUUCGGGGACAGAGUGACAGGUGGUGCAUGGUUGUCGUCAGCUCGUGUCGUGAGAUGUUGGGUUAAGUCCCGCAACGAGCGCAACCCUUGAUCUUAGUUGCCAGCAUUCAGUUGGGCACUCUAAGGUGACUGCCGGUGACAAACCGGAGGAAGGUGGGGAUGACGUCAAAUCAUCAUGCCCCUUAUGACCUGGG